This 915-nucleotide ribosomal RNA is filed under the name Pseudomonas aeruginosa. RNAcentral's name for it is "bacterial SSU rRNA". It matches the Rfam family "Bacterial small subunit ribosomal RNA", at positions 8 to 918 of the family's 1533-position model. The record is from RNAcentral. Lineage: Bacteria; Pseudomonadati; Pseudomonadota; Gammaproteobacteria; Pseudomonadales; Pseudomonadaceae.
AGAGUUUGAUCAUGGCUCAGAUUGAACGCUGGCGGCAGGCCUAACACAUGCAAGUCGAGCGGAUGAAGGGAGCUUGCUCCUGGAUUCAGCGGCGGACGGGUGAGUAAUGCCUAGGAAUCUGCCUGGUAGUGGGGGAUAACGUCCGGAAACGGGCGCUAAUACCGCAUACGUCCUGAGGGAGAAAGUGGGGGAUCUUCGGACCUCACGCUAUCAGAUGAGCCUAGGUCGGAUUAGCUAGUUGGUGGGGUAAAGGCCUACCAAGGCGACGAUCCGUAACUGGUCUGAGAGGAUGAUCAGUCACACUGGAACUGAGACACGGUCCAGACUCCUACGGGAGGCAGCAGUGGGGAAUAUUGGACAAUGGGCGAAAGCCUGAUCCAGCCAUGCCGCGUGUGUGAAGAAGGUCUUCGGAUUGUAAAGCACUUUAAGUUGGGAGGAAGGGCAGUAAGUUAAUACCUUGCUGUUUUGACGUUACCAACAGAAUAAGCACCGGCUAACUUCGUGCCAGCAGCCGCGGUAAUACGAAGGGUGCAAGCGUUAAUCGGAAUUACUGGGCGUAAAGCGCGCGUAGGUGGUUCAGCAAGUUGGAUGUGAAAUCCCCGGGCUCAACCUGGGAACUGCAUCCAAAACUACUGAGCUAGAGUACGGUAGAGGGUGGUGGAAUUUCCUGUGUAGCGGUGAAAUGCGUAGAUAUAGGAAGGAACACCAGUGGCGAAGGCGACCACCUGGACUGAUACUGACACUGAGGUGCGAAAGCGUGGGGAGCAAACAGGAUUAGAUACCCUGGUAGUCCACGCCGUAAACGAUGUCGACUAGCCGUUGGGAUCCUUGAGAUCUUAGUGGCGCAGCUAACGCGAUAAGUCGACCGCCUGGGGAGUACGGCCGCAAGGUUAAAACUCAAAUGAAUUGACGGGG